This 385-nucleotide ribosomal RNA is filed under the name uncultured bacterium. RNAcentral's name for it is "bacterial SSU rRNA". It matches the Rfam family "Bacterial small subunit ribosomal RNA", at positions 370 to 772 of the family's 1533-position model. The record is from RNAcentral.
AAUGGGGGCAACCCUGAUCCAGCCAUGCCGCGUGAGUGAUGAAGGCCUUAGGGUUGUAAAGCUCUUUCGCCCGCGAAGAUAAUGACGGUAGCGGGAGAAGAAGCCCCGGCUAACUUCGUGCCAGCAGCCGCGGUAAUACGAAGGGGGCUAGCGUUGUUCGGAAUCACUGGGCGUAAAGCGUACGUAGGCGGAUGCUUAAGUCAGAGGUGAAAGCCUGGAGCUCAACUCCAGAACUGCCUUUGAUACUGGGCGUCUUGAGUCCGGGAGAGGUGAGUGGAACUGCUAGUGUAGAGGUGAAAUUCGUAGAUAUUAGCAAGAACACCAGUGGCGAAGGCGGCUCACUGGCCCGGUACUGACGCUGAGGUACGAAAGCGUGGGGAGCAAA